UGGGGAAUUUUGGACAAUGGGGGAAACCCUGAUCCAGCAAUGCCGCGUGUGUGAAGAAGGCCUUCGGGUUGUAAAGCACUUUUGUCCGGAAAGAAAUCCUUGGCUCUAAUACAGUCGGGGGAUGACGGUACCGGAAGAAUAAGCACCGGCUAACUACGUGCCAGCAGCCGCGGUAAUACGUAGGGUGCAAGCGUUAAUCGGAAUUACUGGGCGUAAAGCGUGCGCAGGCGGUUUGCUAAGACCGAUGUGAAAUCCCCGGGCUCAACCUGGGACUGCAUUGGUGACUGGCAGGCUAGAGUAUGGCAGAGGGGGGUAGAAUUCCACGUNUAGCAGUGAAAUGCGUAGAGAUGUGGAGGAAUACCGAUGGCGAAGGCAGCCCCCUGGCAAGUACUGACGCUCAUGCACGAAAGCGUGGGGAGCAAACAGGAUUAGAUACCCCUGGUAGUCCACGCCCUAAAACGAUGUCAACUAGUUGUUGGGGAUUCAUUUCCUUAGUAACGUAGCUAACGCGUGAAGUUGACCGCCUGGGGAGUA
RNAcentral lists this ribosomal RNA (534 nucleotides) under uncultured bacterium. Its description in RNAcentral is "partial 16S ribosomal RNA". It matches the Rfam family "Bacterial small subunit ribosomal RNA", at positions 355 to 882 of the family's 1533-position model. The record is from RNAcentral.